This 279-nucleotide ribosomal RNA is filed under the name uncultured bacterium. RNAcentral's name for it is "partial 16S ribosomal RNA". It matches the Rfam family "Bacterial small subunit ribosomal RNA", at positions 506 to 784 of the family's 1533-position model. The record is from RNAcentral.
UGCCAGCCGCCGCUGUAAUCCUUAUUUGGCAAUCGUUAUCCGGAAUUAUUGGGCGUAAAGCGCGCGUAGGCGGUUUUUUAAGUCUGAUGUGAAAGCCCACGGCUCAACCGUGGUGGGUCAUUGGAAGCUGGAAAACUUGAGUGCAGAAGAGGAAAGUGGAAUUCCAUGUGUAGCGGUGAAAUGCGCAGAGAUAUGGAGGAACACCAGUGGCGAAGGCGACUUUCUGGUCUGUAACUGACGCUGAUGUGCGAAAGCGUGGGGAUCAAACAGGAUUAGAUA